UACGUAGGGUGCGAGCGUUGUCCGGAAUUAUUGGGCGUAAAGAGCUUGUAGGCGGUUUGUCGCGUCUGCCGUGAAAAUUCGAGGCUCAACCUCGAACUUGCGGUGGGUACGGGCAGACUAGAGUGUGGUAGGGGAGACUGGAAUUCCUGAUGUAGCGGUGAAAUGCGCAGAUAUCAGGAGGAACACCGGUGGCGAAGGCGGGUCUCUGGGCCGAUACUGACGCUGAGGAGCGAAAGCAUGGGUAGCGAACAGG
RNAcentral lists this ribosomal RNA (253 nucleotides) under uncultured bacterium. Its description in RNAcentral is "partial 16S ribosomal RNA". It matches the Rfam family "Bacterial small subunit ribosomal RNA", at positions 524 to 776 of the family's 1533-position model. The record is from RNAcentral.